This 572-nucleotide long non-coding RNA is filed under the name Marmota monax (woodchuck). Lineage: Eukaryota; Metazoa; Chordata; Mammalia; Rodentia; Sciuridae. The record is from RNAcentral.
AAAACUUGGAAUGGAACCUCCAUUUGACCCAGCUAUCCCUCUUCUUGGUUUAUACCCAAAGGACUUAAAAUCAGAAUACUAUGGUGACACAGCCACAUCAAUGUUUAUAGCAGCUCAAUUCAUGAUAGCUGAACUAUGGAACCAAACUAGAUGCCCUUCAACAGAUGAGUGGAUAAAGAAACUGUGGUUCAUAUACACAAUAGAAUAUUACUCAGCCUUGAAGAAGAAUGAAAUUAUGGCAUUUGCAGAUAAAUGGAUGGAACUAGAGAAUAGUAUGCUAAGUGAAAUAAGCCAAUCCCAAAUAACCAAAGGCCAAAUGUUUUCUCUGAAAAGCAAAUGCUUAUCCAUAGUGGGGGGGGGGGAGAAUGAAGGAACUUUGGAUAGUGAGUGAGGGGAAGAGUGAGGCAGUAGGGAUGGGAAAGACAGUAGGAGAGAGACAUGACUGCCCUACAUACAUGUGUGGUUACACUACUGGGGUGACUCUGCACCAUGUACAGCCAGAGGAAUGAGAAUUGUGCUCCAUUUGUGUACAAUGUGUCAAAAUGCAUUCUACUGUCAUGUAUAACUAAUUA